This 1014-nucleotide small RNA is filed under the name Pan troglodytes (chimpanzee). Its description in RNAcentral is "retained intron". The record is from RNAcentral. Lineage: Eukaryota; Metazoa; Chordata; Mammalia; Primates; Hominidae.
GCGGCGGCGACUGCUGCGGUGAAGGAGGAGGAGGAGCCGAGCGGGCGCUGGCACCGAGGCCUGACCAUGGACGAGGAAUACGAUGUGAUCGUGCUGGGGACCGGCCUCACCGAAUGCAUCCUGUCGGGCAUCAUGUCUGUGAACGGGAAGAAGGUGCUGCACAUGGACCGGAACCCCUACUACGGGGGCGAGAGCUCCUCCAUCACACCCCUGGAGGAGCUGUAUAAGCGUUUUCAGUUGCUGGAGGGGCCCCCUGAGUCGAUGGGCCGAGGCCGAGACUGGAACGUUGACCUGAUUCCCAAAUUCCUCAUGGCUAACGGGCAGCUGGUAAAGAUGCUACUGUAUACAGAGGUGACUCGCUACCUGGACUUCAAGGUGGUGGAGGGCAGCUUUGUCUACAAGGGGGGCAAGAUCUACAAAGUGCCGUCCACUGAGACUGAGGCCUUGGCUUCCAAUCUGAUGGGCAUGUUUGAGAAACGGCGCUUCCGCAAGUUCCUGGUGUUUGUGGCAAACUUCGAUGAGAAUGACCCCAAGACCUUUGAGGGCGUUGACCCCCAGACUACCAGCAUGCGUGACGUCUACCGGAAGUUUGAUCUGGGCCAGGAUGUCAUCGAUUUCACUGGCCAUGCCCUGGCGCUCUACCGCACUGAUGAGUGAGGGGAAGCUGGGUGGUGGUAGCCCCCUCGCCCGGCCCGCCCCCGCCCUUCCCACACCUGCCUGCUGUCCCCCUGCCCCGCAUGUCUCUUGUACUCAGCCACCGGCUCACCUAUCACCCUUUCCAUUUCCCCCUUGCAUUUGAUCCUCAUCUUCCCCAGGCCAUUCAGGGUGGUGGGAAGACUGGCCUGGUACCUGGGUGGGGGUAAGUCAGGGGUGCUGCUAUUCCCCCAGCUACCUGGACCAGCCCUGCCUUGAGACCGUCAACCGCAUCAAGUUGUACAGUGAGUCCCUGGCCCGGUAUGGCAAGAGCCCGUAUUUAUACCCGCUCUACGGCUUGGGCGAGCUGCCCCAGGGUUU